AGCAUUUCUGUGGGCAGCAUAACGGCCAUCUGAUACACGUGAAUUCCGAGGAGGAAAACUUGUUCAUUAUUGACACUUUGCGUAAAACUAAAGCAUCCUACUGCUGGAUUGGGCUUUCUGACAUGGAUGUCGAGGGCUUAUGGCAAUGGUAUGGAACGUCAGAAAAGCCACAGUUCAGCUAAUGGGGUCCAGGUCAGCCUGGCGGCGGUCAACUCGAGGACUGUGGAGUGUACGCUGUUCACCAUCACUACAGAUGGGAUGACUAUACGUGCGAUCAUCACUUUCAUCCCAUCUGUGAAUCCA
Molecule: long non-coding RNA, 303 nt
Organism: Mercenaria mercenaria
Lineage: Eukaryota; Metazoa; Mollusca; Bivalvia; Venerida; Veneridae
Exons: 3
Source: RefSeq, a predicted model, not a curated record